CCUACGGGCGGCAGCAGUGGGGAAUAUUGCGCAAUGGGCGAAAGCCUGACGCAGCGACGCCGCGUGAGGGAUGAAGGUCUUCGGAUCGUAAACCUCUGUCAGCAGGGAAGAACGGUCACUGUGCUAAUCAGCAGUGAAUUGACGGUACCUGCAAAGGAAGCACCGGCUAACUCCGUGCCAGCAGCCGCGGUAAUACGGAGGGUGCGAGCGUUAAUCGGAAUUACUGGGCGUAAAGCGGUCGUAGGCGGUAUGGCAAGUCAAGGGUGAAAUCCCCGCGCUCAACGUGGGAACUGCCUUUGAAACUGGGAAACUGGAGUGUGUGAGAGGAUAGUGGAAGUCCAGGUGUAGGAGUGAAAUGCGUAGAUAUCUGGAGGAACAUCAGUGGCGAAGGCGACUAUCUGGCACAUAACUGACGCUGAGGAGCGAAAGCGUGGGUAGCAAACAGGAUUAGAUACCCGAGUAGUC
This 465-nucleotide ribosomal RNA is filed under the name uncultured bacterium. RNAcentral's name for it is "partial 16S ribosomal RNA". It matches the Rfam family "Bacterial small subunit ribosomal RNA", at positions 338 to 795 of the family's 1533-position model. The record is from RNAcentral.